Molecule: ribosomal RNA, 469 nt
Filed under: uncultured Smithella sp.
Lineage: Bacteria; Pseudomonadati; Thermodesulfobacteriota; Syntrophia; Syntrophales; Smithellaceae
Description: bacterial SSU rRNA
Rfam family: Bacterial small subunit ribosomal RNA
Source: RNAcentral
CGGGGCCCGCACAAGCGGUGGAGCAUGUGGUUUAAUUCGACGCAACGCGAAGAACCUUACCUGGGCUCGACAUCCCGAUCGCACCUUAUGGAAACAUAGGGGUCAGUUCGGCUGGAUCGGUGACAGGUGCUGCAUGGCUGUCGUCAGCCCGUGUCGUGAGAUGUUGGGUUAAGUCCCGCAACGAGCGCAACCCUUGUCUUUAAUUGCCAGCAUUCAGUUGGGCACUUUAAAGAGACUGCCGGUGUUAAGCCGGAGGAAGGUGGGGAUGACGUCAAGUCCUCAUGGCCUUUAUGCCCAGGGCUACACACGUGCUACAAUGGGUGGUACAAAGAGAUGCCAACUCGCGAGAGCGCGCCAAUCUCAGAAAGCCAUCCUCAGUUCGGAUUGGAGUCUGCAACUCGACUCCAUGAAGUUGGAAUCGCUAGUAAUCGCGGAUCAGCACGCCGCGGUGAAUACGUUCCCGGGCCUU